UGGUUUCCCAUAGUUCGCAUGGCUGCCACGCGCUGCCCGCUCUUGCCACGUAGGGUUGUCUGUUUCCUCCCCUCCUCUCCUGGCUUCUGAUGUGCUCUAUGAUCUGUUUGGCCAGAAAUCAGACAACUGCGCUUUUUAGAACUACGUGCACGGGAAGAAUGGACGGAGCUGACACCAAGAGCUCAGAGGCUGCACGAGAACCAAAGCACGAGGGCGACAGCGGCAGUGUGGCGACGUGAGAAGACUUCCUGGCCUCUCCCCGUGAAGUUACAACAAGCUGGACACCUGCAGCUCAACCAAGAGCUCCCUGCUCAGCGCACACACUCGUCUGGGAGACCCGCGCAUCAGGGAGGAGCACACAGUGGGUGUGUGUUUGGCGCCCUCUACAGGAAACUAUGCGGAUUGGGCAUCGCUGCAGAGGGAGCUGCUUGGCAGAAGCGAAGGUUACCUUCAAGACCCACAGUAACUAUGUUAAUGAACCGUGUUGGAUGAAGCGCUUUCUAACCCUGAGCCCUCAAGUUUCCUGUCCUCUUCAACAGAGAAUGUUGAACCUGAUCAUGAACAUUUGUUGAACCACGUUUGAGCUGCAAACACAGUGGUUUUCUCGAGAGCCAAGGGCUUGGCGAGGGUGUUACAGGGCCUGCAAACAACUUGAAAAUCCUUCCGCCCAGUCUGUACCUGAGACUUAGUUGCAAUCUGCUUCUGAAGGGCGGGCAGCUAGCUCGGCUGAACUGCAAAUGCCAGACUCCACGGGGAGUCAGAACCCACACUUGAAAGACGUCAAAAGCCCCCUUUGGCUGUCUUUCUGUCUAGUCCACGCCCCGUGGUUCGUUAAUUAGCAUAAUGGGUGUGAAGAAUAAUCAUUCAUCCGUGAAACAAUGGACUGGCCAGGAAUAUUGUCUAGAAGCUGGAUUCUAAACACUCUUGCCCACGAAUGAAUCGAACGAGCCCACAGUAUGUAAUUUUAAUUUUCUAGUAGUCGCUUUUUAAAAAGUAAAAAGAAGCAGCUGAACUCCAUUUGAAUAAUACAUUUUACUUAAGCCAAUAGAGCUGAAAUGUUAGCAUUUCAGUAUGUCAUUGACAUUAAAACUAUUUAUGAGCUAUUUUA
Long non-coding RNA from Phyllostomus discolor (pale spear-nosed bat), 1108 nucleotides. RefSeq lists it as uncharacterized. NCBI's taxonomy places the organism in Eukaryota, Metazoa, Chordata, Mammalia, Chiroptera, Phyllostomidae. The transcript is spliced from 2 exons. The record is from RefSeq and is a predicted model, not a curated record.